GACGAACGCUGGCGGCGUGCCUAAUACAUGCAAGUUGAGCGCUGAAGGUUGGUACUUGUACCAACUGGAUGAGCAGCGAACGGGUGAGUAACGCGUGGGGAAUCUGCCUUUGAGCGGGGGACAACAUUUGGAAACGAAUGCUAAUACCGCAUAAAAACUUUAAACACAAGUUUUAAGUUUGAAAGAUGCAAUUGCAUCACUAAAAGAUGAUCCCGCGUUGUAUUAGCUAGUUGGUGAGGUAAAGGCUCACCAAGGCGAUGAUACAUAGCCGACCUGAGAGGGUGAUCGGCCACAUUGGGACUGAGACACGGCCCAAACUCCUACGGGAGGCAGCAGUAGGGAAUCUUCGGCAAUAGACGAAAGUCUGACCGAGCAACGCCGCGUGAGUGAAGAAGGUUGUCGGAUCGUAAAACUCUGUUGGUAGAGAAGAACGUUGGUGAGAGUGGAAAGCUCAUCAAGUGACGGUAACUACCCAGAAAGGGACGGCUAACUACGUG
RNAcentral lists this ribosomal RNA (497 nucleotides) under uncultured bacterium. RNAcentral's name for it is "partial 16S ribosomal RNA". It matches the Rfam family "Bacterial small subunit ribosomal RNA", at positions 28 to 507 of the family's 1533-position model. The record is from RNAcentral.